Molecule: long non-coding RNA, 2181 nt
Organism: Oncorhynchus masou masou (cherry salmon)
Lineage: Eukaryota; Metazoa; Chordata; Actinopteri; Salmoniformes; Salmonidae
Exons: 3
Source: RefSeq, a predicted model, not a curated record
GGUUGGUGUGCCAUGGAGACAACAACCAGAGUUAUGUGUGUGAAUCAGACCACUGCUGUGGAGAGUCUCAGUGCUGCAGCUACUACUAUGAGCUCUGGUGGUUCUGGUUGGUGUGGACUCUCAUCAUCAUAUUAAUGUGCUGCUGUGUGUCUCAGCACCGGCGCUACAAGCAGAGCUUCCAGCAGCAGAGGAGACAGAAUGAGAUCAACCUCAUUGUAUACAGAGAGGCCCACAACAACACACAGCACCUCCCCCUCUAUCUCAGAUUCCUGCCUGACUACAUGCUGCCAACCUAUGAGGAGGUAGUUGACAGCACUGCCACUCCUCCCCCUCCCUACAGUCCCCCUCCAGUUAGCCUCUCUGUCCACCUAACACCCUGACUGCCCUCAUCCUUCCCCCAGACCACCACCACAUACCCAGACACAACCCCCACUGCGACCCCCCGUGUUCACACAGGGGGAGCAUGGCAAUGGUUUCCCUGACAACAAUAACUCGGCGUUGGGCAGGUAACUGCGCUUUACAGGCGACUCGGCAAUCAAGAUGUGUGAUAACCAGGAACUCUGGGAGGGAGAAGGAAGACAUGCUGGGAAGGGAGGAGGAAGAAAAGAUCUGUGAUAGAUGCAGACCCCAGAUUCAGAUCCACACAGACACCAAUAUACACACAGACAUAGAGACUCAGAGUUGAUUCCCCAAACCUGUGAGUGAGAGGUGUAUGUGUGUGCCUGUGAAUGUGUCCCUCCUUAGAAGAAAGUAGCACCAUUCUUGCAUCACAAUGUGCAUUCCUCUGUAAUGCAGCCGUGCCAUAUGUAGCCGUAUCUUAAGGUGGUGAUGCACUGACCCUAAAAGCCUGGAGUCUCACUGCUGAGCCACACAAAGGCCAGUAGAUUAUAGAGUUCCUGUACAGUUCAAAUGAUGAAUUUAUGCCAUGUCGAACUGAACAGAAACUUAAAGCGGGCAGGCACGGUUGAGGGCUUUGCUGGAGGUACAAAUUGGUUUCAUAGAACCGCUUUCAACACUGCAGACUUCCUCAUUGGUUUUGGGUCGAAUUCAGGCAUAACAGCGGCCUCUUGUGUUUAUAUAUAUAUAUAUAUAAUCGUUGAUUUAUUCAGACAUGACAUAAAUGACUAAAUGAGACAUACACAGUCUAACAUCAACAUAUGGUGUAGGAAUAUACACAGCCGGAAUGAACAAAGCAAGAGAGAUGCGCCAAGAAGGAUUACAAGGUAUAUUCUUAUUUUUCAUUUUUAGAUUAGCAUGGAGCAUCAUCGUCUGACCUCAUAUUAAAGAGAGACCACGUUUAUUGCACAAAAACUCACACACAUGCAGUGUGGAGGUUAAUGUUUGAAACGGUGAAUAUGACCGGUUUAAUGUGUCUCGGUUAUUGUAAUGUGUCUUCAGAACUCCUUUUUACUAAGGAAUCACAAAGUCUUGUUACGUAGCAUUUCUGUAAUAUAUUAUAUGAUUGAAUAGCCUACGCUUUGAUUAAUACUGUGUAGCCCUAUUGUGAACUGUGUUUCUCUCUAUAGAGUAGUAGAGCAGCUCCCAGAGGCCAUGAUUGUACUUCCGAUGUGGUUUUAUUUAUUAUUAUUAUUAUUAUAUAUUUAUAUAUAACAAUAAUUCUCUAAAGAAAAGUAAAAGAACAUCGAAGUAAUAUAUAUAUAAAAACAUUCACUACACAUUAAUUGAGUUUCAAAAGUUAAAAUAAAUAGAAUAAGGUCAGGGGUUACAGUUGUAUAAACCUAUGGUAGUGUUGUAAGAAUACAAUGUUUAAAAAAGUUUUUGACUAAUUCUAGAGAUUUUAUAAAAUAUUGUAUUUCAAGUAAAAAUAUAUUGCCUUUGGGAACAGAUUUCCAAUAUGUGUUUUUGUGAAUACAACAUUUACCAGAGAGAAUGAAGAAAUUAAUGACUAAUUCAGCAGUUUUGUUUUCAUUUGAGUAAUAACAAUAACAACAUUACAUCUUUCAUUGUAGAUUCAUGGGUCUUAUUAAUGAAAUAAAGCAUGUAAUUACUUAACUCGCUCCAAAAUAACUUCACAGAGUUUCCGAUGUGGGUGUGGUAGCGAAUCAACCUUUAUCUGUAUGAGAGGCGAAUCCCAACUUGGCCAAAAAUCUGUCUUCUCCAGCAGGUUGCAAUGUUUUGUUUCUUUCACAAAAGCGAUGAGUUUUUGUAUGGAGGUCAAUG